UGUGUUGCCCAGAGAUGGUCACCCAAGAGGGGGGUGAAUUGGGUGUUUUAAAAACUUUUGACUAAUUAAAAUAAAACACACGAAUAUAUGCACUAAAGUAAAGAAGGAGAAAUGAGAAAGGUCAAUCGCAAACACAAGGUUUUAUAGUGGUUCGGAGCUUCCACUGCUCCUACAUCCACUCCCCAAAUCACCUUUGGAAAUUUCCACUAUAAUCCACGAUUACAGUACGGUAGUUUUGCGAGUUCACUACCCAACUCGUUGUUUUACACCGGGCUCACAACAAACCCUAAAACCCCCAAUUUCACUUAGGCUUGGGAC
Molecule: long non-coding RNA, 318 nt
Filed under: Phoenix dactylifera (date palm)
Lineage: Eukaryota; Viridiplantae; Streptophyta; Magnoliopsida; Arecales; Arecaceae
Description: long non-coding RNA (PDAC_LNC020125)
Source: RNAcentral